RNAcentral lists this ribosomal RNA (550 nucleotides) under uncultured bacterium. Its description in RNAcentral is "bacterial SSU rRNA". It matches the Rfam family "Bacterial small subunit ribosomal RNA", at positions 334 to 874 of the family's 1533-position model. The record is from RNAcentral.
UACUCCUACGGGAGGCAGCAGUGGGGAAUUUUGCGCAAUGGGCGAAAGCCUGACGCAGCAACGCCGCGUGAGUGAUGAAGGCUCUCGGGUCGUAAAGCUCUGUCGAGGGGAAAGAAAUGUAUUGUGGUUAAUACCCGCGAUACUUGACGGUACCCCUAAAGGAAGCACCGGCUAACUCCGUGCCAGCAGCCGCGGUAAUACGGGGGGUGCAAGCGUUGUUCGGAAUUAUUGGGCGUAAAGCGCGUGUAGGCGGUCUNAUUAGUCUGAUGUGAAAGCCCUGGGCUCAACCCAGGAAGUGCAUUGGAUACNGUCAGACUUGAAUACGGGAGAGGGUAGUGGAAUUCCUAGUGUAGGAGUGAAAUCCGUAGAUAUUAGGAGGAACACCGGUGGCGAAGGCGGCUACCUGGACCGAUAUCGACGCUGAGACGCGAAAGCGUGGGUAGCAAACAGGAUUAGAUACCCUGGUAGUCCCCGCCGUAAACGAUGAGUACUAGGUGUUGCGGGUAUUGACCCCUGCAGUGCCGCAGCUAACGCAUUAAGUACUCCGCCU